ACGGGUGAGUAACGCGUGGGAACGUGCCUUCCGGUUCGGAAUAACCCUGGGAAACUAGGGCUAAUACCGGAUACGCCCUUAUGGGGAAAGGUUUACUGCCGGAAGAUCGGCCCGCGUCUGAUUAGCUAGUUGGUGGGGUAACGGCCUACCAAGGCGACGAUCAGUAGCUGGUCUGAGAGGAUGAUCAGCCACACUGGGACUGAGACACGGCCCAGACUCCUACGGGAGGCAGCAGUGGGGAAUAUUGGACAAUGGGCGCAAGCCUGAUCCAGCCAUGCCGCGUGAGUGAUGAAGGCCUUAGGGUUGUAAAGCUCUUUUAUCCGGGACGAUAAUGACGGUACCGGAGGAAUAAGCCCCGGCUAACUUCGUGCCAGCAGCCGCGGUAAUACGAAGGGGGCUAGCGUUGCCCGGAAUCACUGGGCGUAAAGGGCGCGUAGGCGGCGUUUUAAGUCGGGGGUGAAAGCCUGUGGCUCAACCACAGAAUGGCCUUCGAUACUGGGACGCUUGAGUAUGGUAGAGGUUGGUGGAACUGCGAGUGUAGAGGUGAAAUUCGUAGA
This 557-nucleotide ribosomal RNA is filed under the name uncultured Methylobacterium sp. RNAcentral's name for it is "bacterial SSU rRNA". It matches the Rfam family "Bacterial small subunit ribosomal RNA", at positions 102 to 694 of the family's 1533-position model. Lineage: Bacteria; Pseudomonadati; Pseudomonadota; Alphaproteobacteria; Hyphomicrobiales; Methylobacteriaceae. The record is from RNAcentral.